UACGUAGGCAGCGAGCGUUGUUCGGAAUUACUGGGCGUAAAGAGUGUGUAGGCGGUGCUCUAAGUUCGGUGUGAAAUCUCCUGCUUAACUGGGAGGGUGCGCCGGAAACUGGAGUGCUCGAGCGUGGGAGAGGAAAGCGGAAUUCCUGGUGUGAGCGGUGAAAUGCGUAGAGUAUCAGGAGGAACACCUGUGGUGUAGACGGCUUUCUGGACCAUAGCUGACGCUGAGACACGAAAGCGUGGGUAGCAAACAGG
This 254-nucleotide ribosomal RNA is filed under the name uncultured bacterium. RNAcentral describes it as "partial 16S ribosomal RNA". It matches the Rfam family "Bacterial small subunit ribosomal RNA", at positions 524 to 776 of the family's 1533-position model. The record is from RNAcentral.